CCUACGGGAGGCAGCAGUGAGGAAUUUUCCGCAAUGGGCGAAAGCCUGACGGAGCAAUGCCGCGUGGAGGAGGAAGGCCUGUGGGUCGUAAACUCCUUUUCUCAGAGAAGAAGUUCUGACGGUAUCUGAGGAAUAAGCAUCGGCUAACUCUGUGCCAGCAGCCGCGGUAAUACAGGGGAUGCAAGCGUUAUCCGGAAUUAUUGGGCGUAAAGCGUCCUGAGGUGGCUUACCCAGUCGACUGUGAAAGCUCAAGGCUUAACCUUGAAACGGCAGUCGAAACUUGUAAGCUUGAGUACGGUAGGGGCAGAGGGAAUUCCCGGAGGAGAGGUGAAAUUCGUAGAUAUCGGGAGGAAGGCCAAAGGCGAAAGCACUCUGCUGGGCCGAUUACUGACACUGACAGACGAAAGCUAGGGGAGCGAAAGGGAUUAGAUACCCCUGUAGUCCUAGCCGUAAACGAUGGAUACUAAGUGUUGCGCGACUCAAAACGUGCAGUGCUGCAGCUAACGCGGUAAGUAUCCCGCCUGGGGAGUAUGCCCGCAAGGGUGAAACUCAAAUGAAUUGACGG
RNAcentral lists this ribosomal RNA (565 nucleotides) under uncultured phototrophic eukaryote. Its description in RNAcentral is "bacterial SSU rRNA". It matches the Rfam family "Bacterial small subunit ribosomal RNA", at positions 338 to 916 of the family's 1533-position model. The record is from RNAcentral.